CACUUACAAAACAUGCACUCUCACUGACAAACACACACUCACUAACAGACACCAAACACACUAACAGACACACACUCAGUAACAGACACACACACACAGUAACACACUCACUGACACUAGCAGACACAAAUUCAAUAGCAGACACACACACACACACUGACACACAAAAACUAACACACUCACUAGCAGACACACACUCAAUAACAGACACACACUAACACACAACCAACACACUUAGUAACAGACACACAUACAGUAAC
This is a non-coding RNA of Pelobates cultripes (western spadefoot toad), 260 nucleotides long. Lineage: Eukaryota; Metazoa; Chordata; Amphibia; Anura; Pelobatidae. The record is from the annotation of a GenBank genome assembly.